Girardinichthys multiradiatus is the source of this 2663-nucleotide long non-coding RNA. RefSeq lists it as uncharacterized. NCBI's taxonomy places the organism in Eukaryota, Metazoa, Chordata, Actinopteri, Cyprinodontiformes, Goodeidae. The transcript has 5 exons. The record is from RefSeq and is a predicted model, not a curated record.
UUGCCCUGUUGCUCUGACACCUGCAGGACGGAAGAACACAUCACGACACAUUUUACCGAGUCUCCUGAAAAGGAUAAACUGCAUAUUUUUGGAGCUUUCUAUCUUGGGUACAGCACUCUGUGAACAACCAGAUUCUUUGGCUAUGAGCUCUUGUGUAUUUCCAUCCUUGUGGAAGGUGUCAAGGACUGUCUUCUGGACAUCUGUCAAGUCAGGAUUCGUCCUCAUGUUUGUGUAAUAGAAACAGAUGACAACUUUAAACCACUAAGUAAUGGCUAUGACUACCUGGUGGACUUUUUGGAUUUGUCAUUUCCUUCCUUAAGGCCAGACAGAGAGCACUCCUACAUUGAGAUUAAAAACACAAUCGGUGUGAUGAGGUACGUGGUCCUGCAUGGCUGCCUCUAGGAUGACCUGUACAUUGGCUUUCAGAACCAAAUCAGCCGAGAUCCGGAUGUCUACCACCACAAGUUCUGGAACCACUUCCAGACCCAGUUACCACUGCGCUGUCCAGACUGGGGCCAGUUUCUGCAGAAGGUGACCCCCAUCCAGGAAACGGACGCAUCAGAUGGAGGCUUACUGAGCUACUGUUCAGUCUUAUAGAUUUAAAUAGUGGGAAUAUGAGGAUAAUGUUUCAGAUUUUCUGGUUCCCUUUUUUUCUGGUAAAUUAUGAAUGCACAUGAAAGGUAUUUAAAUAACUACUUUGGUGAUUGCAUUUAUUCAGCUCGAAGGGAAUUCACAAAUGAAGAUGCCAUUAACUCUGAAGGUUGUUGAAUGUGUUUUUAAUAGUGUUUCCUACUGGCUUUUGUGCUUAUGGAAGUUGUCUUUUGUAACUGUUCUGGGUUUUGUUUUUCUAUUUAUUGAAAAUGUGUUUUCUUAUCUAAAUGCAGGUAAUUCGGUGAAGCAAUUAUAGAGCAAGGCCACAGCUCAAAUGCAUUUUUGAUUACCUAUUAAUUCUUCUCUCAGAACCCCUUUUCUAAGCUUCCAACCAUCUGUCCAUAUCCUUUACCCCUUAUUUUGAGGUCUUUAGAUCCAGUUAAUUUUUUUUUUUUUUCAGGCAUUUUAGGAAAACAAAACUUGGAUAUUCCUGAGAAGGGAAGACGAGUCACAUUUACAAUCACUGGUUAUCUUAUUAGGCACACCUUCUCAAUUCCAAUUUGCAAAUGAAUCAAUCAUAUCGCAGCAACGCAAAGCAUUGGGGUGUCUAGAGGUAGUGAUGAUGACUUGCUGGCGUUCUACGAGAACAUUAGAAUAAGGAAUUAAAAGGGUUUGUGUGUUUACAGAUGAUGGUUCAAAACAGAGAAAAUAUCCAGUGAGGCAAACUGGUGUUUGAGAUGACAGAAACUCAGCAGUAGCUCAAAUGACUUUUACAAAGAAGUUAUACAGAAUACUGUCUCUGAACAGAAAUUACCUUGGAGCUCUGAAGCAGAUGGACUACAGCAGCAGAAGGCUUUACCGGGUACCACUCCUGUCAACUAAGAACAAAAACCUGAGGAAACGAGGUCACCAAAAUUAAAUAUGUGACAUGUGAAAAACAGGCUCCAUGGUUGCGCAGUUGGUAGUAUUGUUUCAGAGCGAAGGUUGUGGUUUUACAUCCCAGCCAUAGAUCUUUCUGCAUGGAGUUCAUGCUUCUUGCCUACUGGAAAUAGGAACCAGCUCCAUAUCAAAGAUGGCCAGCAAAAAAAUCUGCAAUGCUAUCAUGCAAAUACAGGCAAAAAUGGUCCCGAAACUUCAGUUCAGUCUGGAGCCAGUGCCAGGGAGACUUCACCCCAGCAAGACCUACCUAAUGAAGCGGCAUUGAAGAACAUUUAACCAACUGUACAACUAAAAAUGAUCACGAAAACCAAAAUGACAGCGAUAAUUUCUUUUAGUUAGAUAUUUCUCAUAAUGCUUCACAAAGAUCUCCAUCAUCAGGUUCAAGCAGGAUUGAGGAUUAAUUAAUUUCCCUUCAGGAAUAAUAAAAUAUUUUUGAAUUGAAUUGGAACCUUAACCCUCUCAAGAAUUUCAUCCUUUUUAUCCAUCUAGACAAUCCUCCCCAAUCAGCUGGGUUCAUUUCAGUUUUAGUUUAAUUAUUCACUAUGCAGCAUACGUACUAUAGUGCCUUGUAUGAGAUGGAUUCAAUGUCAGUUCCAUUUCACAACAAAUCCAUUCACUACAGCCUCCCUAUUCAACCCAGUUCCAUUUUAUUCAGUCUUCUUCAUGCCUACUAUUCCCCCAGUGGGAAUUUAGUUGGGUUUUAAGUUGGCCAGUCGAUGUACUCAGGCACUUUGAGUCUUCUUCUACAUAACUACUAAUCAUGAGACUCCAAUGAUGAAACAACCUUUUUAUAGCCUUGUCUUAUCUCCCUUAUGUUUGAUUAAAUAUCUUGGCACUUUGUUGAUUAGAAAACUGCCUCACCUUCUCCUUGUUUAAGACAGUAGCACUAGUGAUUAUAACCAAACCUUUUACCUGGUCACACAAAGCUCUAUUUAUUGCUUAAAGCCCAAUGGUGAAAGAAUGAAAAAUGUUUAAUGAUCGUUUGGGUUUUGAUAGACUGAUGUUUUCAUCAUAGUACUGUGGUACUGGUAUUUUGUUAUACAAUGUAAUAGUUUAUUUUUCUUUUAGGGAAUACAGUACCAAACUGUGGAGGUAUUUGUCAUGAUUAUCAAUUAAAAGUGAUGUUUUUGUUG